Long non-coding RNA from Myotis lucifugus (little brown bat), 555 nucleotides. RefSeq lists it as uncharacterized. The transcript has 3 exons. The record is from RefSeq and is a predicted model, not a curated record. NCBI's taxonomy places the organism in Eukaryota, Metazoa, Chordata, Mammalia, Chiroptera, Vespertilionidae.
GGGGGCCCUGCGCUGGCUUUGCCAGGCAGGCUGCCUGGCUGUUUCCUGGAGGCUCCCUGAGCCAGGUGGAGGCUGGAGAGACUGAGAGCUCUGGAGAUUCCGACAUUGUGGCUGUGAUUGAAAAUGGACUUCCUGAAAAAGAAGCUCGCCCGCCAGUGAUGAGUCGGCCUUAGGGAGACCUGUGUGAUGGGGGGUCGGUUCCCCAGGACACUCAGUGCUUCCACAGGAGCUUAAAACUGCAGAUUUUGUCUUGUAAGCGGGUAAUGAAAUCAAUUUAGUUGCACAGAUCUAUUUAGUUCCAUUAAAAACAUGAUGGAGAUACAACAGAAAAUAUGGAAGCCAAUCUGAAGUAGUAAGGCCAGGAGAGCCAAUGGGACCAAGAGCCUGCUCUGCUUGGAGGACCUGGUUCCUCACCUACUCAGCCUUCUGCCUCCUAUUGUGGCCAUUCUCUAAUGGAAUGCCUGUGCCUACCUCGCCCUCCUGGAGCCAAGAACCCAGAGGUGAGAAUGGGUAUGAGGAUCUUCUGAGGGGAGGCAAAUAAGUGAGGUGGGUUGG